CCCCCUGGACCACUCAUGGCAUGGGCGUGACCCCGUACUCAUCUGGGGCCGAGGGUCAGUGUGUGUUUACUCCAAGGAAAUGAAGUCAGCCAGGUGGCUUCCAGAACGCUUAGUAAAACAAGUUGAUAAGCGUGUUGAUGAUGCCGAUGACCUAACAUUGUCCAAUUUCAACCAGUUAACAAUGGUGCCUACAAUUAUAAUCUAAUAAUCAUAAAGAGAAUAGUAUAAUUCAAUUUGGCCAGUUAUAUUUGAGUGCACCCUAAUUUUAUACACUGUCUCAUAUGUUUGUCUAUUGUCUGUUGUUUGUGUUCGUACAGUUGAGCUCAAUAUGUUCCUUCCUUUUCAAAGGAUAUUCGCCUAUUGUUAAAUUGACUUAUAGAUAAAUAUUAUUAAAUUAAAGACAUGCUUUCCUUCCCAGGUUGUUAAUUGAUCAAAGUACCACUGAAAUUUAUUUUAUGAAAGUGACGUGUAUUGUCACCCACAUGCAACAAUCAAAUUGCAAUUAACAGUUAUAAAAUAAAAAGAUAUAUAUUCUUAAUUGUUUGUCAAAACGAUUAUAGAUGGGAACUCCCUUUGAUGAAUAUAGAAGUGGCCACCCAGAAAAUGAUUAUUCUGGUCUUAAUUCAUUAAAGGGACCCCCUAGUAAAUUUUAUAUUAUAUAAUCUUAUGGGAGACAUAUCACAAUGAAUAUUAUCUAAAUAUGUUAUAAAUUGAUUGUAUUGGUUGUCCUUGAUAUUUAAGCACUGAAUAUGUUGUUACAAAAUGUUUAUAUUGGUUAAGUUCUGAAUAUGUUAUUGUAGUAUGUCCACAUUGGUUAUCUUCAAAAGCUUAAUCAGGUUAGCCUAACUCUCUUAUCUACAGCCCAGCCUUGUUUACAUCGCAGGAUGAAAUUUUGCUUACAGGUUAAAAAGAUGACAUCCCUGAAUCUGUUGCAUGGUCUGUUGCUGUUCCUGACACCGACAACAAAAAGUGGAUUUCAACCAGUUAACAAACAACAAUUGCUCAUUGCCCUGUAUGGUAACCCCUGUGACUGUGCUGGGGGUUCUGGCAGGGCUGCACCCACAAGUUACAC
RNAcentral lists this long non-coding RNA (1072 nucleotides) under Heterocephalus glaber (naked mole-rat). RNAcentral's name for it is "lncRNA (ENSHGLG00100046852.1)". Lineage: Eukaryota; Metazoa; Chordata; Mammalia; Rodentia; Bathyergidae. The record is from RNAcentral.